AUUGAACGCUGGCGGCAUGCCUUACACAUGCAAGUCGAACGGCAGCGCGGGGCAACUUGGCGGCGAGUGGCGAACGGGUGAGUAAAAUAUCGGAACAUACCCUAGAGUGGGGGAUAACGUAGCGAAAGUUACGCUAAUACCGCAUACGCACUAAGGUGGAAAGUGGGGGAUCUUCGGACCUCAUGCUCAUGGAGUGGCCGAUAUCUGAUUAGCUAGUUGGUGAGGUAAAGGCUCACCAAGGCGACGAUCAGUAGGCUGGUUUGUAGGAGAACGACCAGCCACACUGGAACUGAGGACACGGUCCAGACUCCUACGGGAGGCAGCAGU
This 327-nucleotide ribosomal RNA is filed under the name uncultured bacterium. RNAcentral describes it as "bacterial SSU rRNA". It matches the Rfam family "Bacterial small subunit ribosomal RNA", at positions 30 to 355 of the family's 1533-position model. The record is from RNAcentral.